ACCAAGGAAUUUAUCAUGCACGAGAGUCAAUGGGUCCCACGAAACCCAAAGGCGCAGUGAAAGUGAAGUCUCGACUUGUUCUUGGGAUGUGGUGUGAUGCCACCGUUGUUUGCACCUCGCCUUGCGCGUACAGCACCAGGCACAAGAGCAGUGGUCGCAUCACCGGCCCGUCCCAUGAUGUGGUAGUUGGAAAGGCCUGGAUCGUGUUGGAGCUGGCGCGUCAUCGGGACGGAGCAGGAGCGUGCACGAUAAGACCCGAAAGAUGGUGAACUAUGCUUGCAUACGUUGAAGCAAGAGAAAAGUCUGGUGGAGGACCGCAGCGAUGCUGACGUGCAAAUCGAUCGUCAAACGUGAGUUGAGGGGCGAAAGACUAAUCGAAAAAUCUAGUAGUUGGUUCCCUCCGAAGUUUCCCUCAGGAUAGCUGGCACUCAUUCGCAAGUUCACUUUUAUCCGGUAAGGCGAAUGAUUAGAGGUAAUGGGUUUGAAACGAGCUCAACCUAUUUUAAAACUUUAAAUGGGUGAGAUGCCUGGCUCACUUUAUAGGGGUCGGGUGCUGAAUAUGCGAGUGCCAAGUGGGCCAUUUUUGGUAAGCAGAACUGGUGCUGUGGGAUGAACCAAACGCCCGGUUAAGGUGCCUAACGCUGACACUCAUGAGAUAACGCAAAAGGUGUUGGUUAAUAUAGACAGCAGGACGGUGGCCAUGGAAGUCGGCAUCCGCUAAGGAGUGUGUAACAACUCACCGGCCGAAUUGACCAGCCCUGAAAAUGGAUGGCGCUGGAGCGUCAGACCUAUACCGGGCCGUCACCGCAAACUGGAUCACUGGCUAUGUUUUGUGGUGCGAGCAGCCCAUGGCCAGUUGCGUGAAAAACAAUAGGUCGCUGUCUUGCGAUGUCAUGAUCCAGGCAAGGAGGUGGUGGCGAGUAGCAGGUUUGCCGUGGUGAGCGUGGAAGCCUCGGACGUGAGUGUGGGUGCAGCCGCCACGGCUGCAGAUCUUGGUGGUAGUAGCAAAUAUUCAAGUGAGAACCUUGAAGGCCGAGGUGGAGAAGGGUUCCAUGGGAACAGCAGUUUGCCAUGGAUCAGGCGGUCCUAAGCGAUCCGGUAUCUCGGUAAAGUGACGUGGGGUGUUUUGCAUACUUCUGUCUGUGUGUGUGCGCGCGUGCAGCCGGCAGCCCCCCGGAGCGAAAGGCAAUCGGGUUAAUAUUCCGGACCCUGCCUACGGAGAUAGGCAAGCGUUUGGCUGGGCCAUCAGUCUGUGUGCCUCUUCGGUGUAUGCAGCUGUGGUCUGUGUCUGGACGCUGCUAAGCACGGUAACGCAACCGAAUUCGGAGACAUCAGCUUGAGUUCCGGGAAGAGUUUUAUUUUCUUUGUAAGGAGUGAUCACUACCUCUGGAAUCGGGUUGUCUGGAGAUAGGGAUAUCACCUCCGUAAAAGCACCACCUCUCUUGUGGUGUCCGGAACACUCUGGUUGGACCUUGAAAAUCCGAGGAAGGCAUUAUGAUUUUGGGGCAGGCCGUACCCAUAUCCGCAUCAGGUCUCCAAGGUGAACAGCCUCUGGCA
This is a non-coding RNA of Schistocephalus solidus, 1557 nucleotides long. Lineage: Eukaryota; Metazoa; Platyhelminthes; Cestoda; Diphyllobothriidea; Diphyllobothriidae. The record is from Rfam.